Molecule: long non-coding RNA, 4567 nt
Organism: Falco peregrinus (peregrine falcon)
Lineage: Eukaryota; Metazoa; Chordata; Aves; Falconiformes; Falconidae
Exons: 3
Source: RefSeq, a predicted model, not a curated record
GGGCCGGCGCCAUCCGCCGCCGCGGGGAGGCCGCCGCCGCGCUGCCGUGGGCGAGGCGCGGCAGGGCCUGGGGGGCACCCGGAGCCUGGCCCCAGGGGCGGCCCCAGGCACGCCCCUCUGCCAGCCUGCGAGGCCUGGAGGCUGCCCAGCUUGCAAGGUGCCAUCUGAUUACGUUGUUCCUUUGCAUUUUAAACACCGAGCUUCGUUCUCAAGCUUUUCCCCUUAAAGAAGACAGCCACUACCAUGCUUAUUUUCAAACAAGCACCGAGUUUUGUCAGUCGCUUGGUCACAGGACCUGGGAGAGCACUGGACAACCCUCAAGACAAAAUUUACAAGAAUCGGUCUGCCCUGGCCAUGCACACCAGUCAACCUGGGGACAGGUUGCGUGCAGCACUGCGCUCGUUGCUUCCUCAGGAAGGCCAGCCUGUGUGUGGCUGACAGCGCAAAGGUGGGUUAAAAGCUGCUUUUUCCAUUUCCCUGACAUUGCUGGAACACCUGUGGCCUUAUCAGGAUCCUUAUGUAGCCUUUGCCUUUUGCCCCACGAUAUCUAUGCACUUGCACACCCUCAGAUUACAAUAGGUACAGGUUGGAAAGGUUUGUGCCUGUGCCCUAACCUUUCCUCACACCUGCAUCCCUGUGCAAUCGUGGCUUAACAGAAACCUAAAGUCACCUCCUUAGGAGAAGCUGUAAGUCGGGACUUGUUAAAACCUGGCUUAUGAAAUCUUCUGGCAGCAUCAGCAGCUGCAUCUUCAGUUUCCGAGAUCUGGAACUAGGAAUGACCAGGCUUCCUCCAAGGACGCUCGUCCUGGGUAGGUCAGCUGUCCCACUGAUUUCUUCCAGAGCUAGAAUGGUAAAAUGGGUCCUCUGAAAGGAACCAGGGAGAGAAUGUUUCUCCUAAAUGUAAUUGCAGCACUGCUUUUGUCAUUUUUUCCUCAGUCUCUUGGUGAGUUUGCCAUUUUUUCUCCCUCGAGCCCUGCCAAAACGUAGGCAGAGAGGGGUACAAGCAAAAUCACUUCUGUCCUGCGUGUCUGCUUCCUUUGCUGCUCAGGAGCUUUAGCAGAGAUCUUCCUGAAGCAGCCCAGUUCUGGUGUCUUGUUUUCUGUGGAAAGUAUCUCCCUUAAUCUUUGUCUUUCAACUUUCAAGAACAGAGCUUUGAAAUUCAUACCAGAUCAGCUGCCACAUACUUGGCAUGACCUCCUCGAAUCCCUGCUAAUCACACUGUAUACCAGCACUGCCCCAGAUAGCAGAUCGUGCUGUUUCUCAUUAGGUCAAGCUGGUGAGCUUUCUGGGAGUCGAGCCAAAAGAACAGUUACCAUAGUUUAUGGUAGCCCAGUGGAGCUUUCUUUCCAUGAAAAAUGGAAAAAAUGGAAUAGAAGGUGCUCUAGAAAUAAAUCACCGAGAUCUGGAAGCCUGAGGUCAAAAUGAUUAAGACUGCUUUUCAAUUACCAGAACCAACCAAACAAGAAAACACCACCCCAUACACACACUAAGAAGCCGGUUAAUUCAAAUCUGAUUAAAAAGCAAGCAGCCAAGAGCAAGGACGUUGGAAAUACACAACGAAGCUCACACGUCCAAAUCUGUCCCACUGCUUUAUCCUAAGGUACAGCAGCUGGUAAGAAGGAAAACAUGAUUCAGGGUCUUGCGCUCCUGGAGUUUAUUUGUGUCAUUAUCCCCAGUCGUUUCAUUAUUACCAAAAGCUUAAAAAACCACAAGAGAUUAGCAAGACCGUACGGGAAGUUGGAGCAGUUCUGCUCGCUGUAUGUAUGUAUGUUGUAACCACUAAUUGGCCAGGAAACCAUGAAAUGGGCUCGGCGGCUCAAAGCUGGUGGGAAGCAAAGAGGCAUAUGCUGAUCAACAACACCAUGUUCUGGCUGCCUUCACUGAGCUCACCAAAGCUGUUUUGGAUCUUUUCCUCAGAAAAAAAUACCUUUUGGGAAAUUAAAAGACAAAAAAGUGCCUGACAGCACAAUUCUUUCCUUUACAAAACGAGUAAUUUAAAACUUAUCCUUAAAAUAAAGCUUCAAAAGGUAACUGUGUUCUGUGUAGGGCAGUGCUGGGGUGGGGGAAGAAGGGAGGGACAUUUAAAGGUUCAAAUUUAAACCCAGCAACUCAGAUGCUUAAUUCCCAGAUAACCCCAGAAUAAAGUUAAAAUAUGGUUCCUGCGAGCCUGCUCUUAACCAGAUCCACCACUGAGGGAUGCUGUGCUCUGCGUCUCAAUCAGCUGUCGUCUUGCCAGCUUUUCCAGGAGGCCGGCUGAUGUGGUGUGGCUGUUGAGCACCCGUGUUGUGACACCCAGGCUGUGGAAAGAAUGGUCUCUGAUGCUGCCUUGCCUUGCUCUCCAGCAGCAGUCACAGGCCCUAGCAUUGCACAGGAAGGCAGCUGCAGGUCCUAGGUGCACACAGAAAGGUGCUCGGAGGCCCCUGGGCUGCACAGAAUGGCCCUCGGAGGCUCCUUGGAUGCACAGAGGGGCACUUGGGGCACCUUGCAUGCACAGAACAGCCCUCGGAGGCUUCUUGAAUGCACAGAGGGGCACUCGGAGGCCCCUGGGGCACUUCACCAGUUUCUGCAGCCUCCAGUGAAAGCAGGAUCUGUCAAGCUGCUCCCUCUGAGGCUGUACAUCUUCCCCUAGCUGGGAUGUCCAGGGCUGCGUAGGGUGGGAGAGAGGGCUCCAGGGAAGCCGCUGGAUUUUCCUUCUUGCAAAACAAUGUCUGAAGUGAAGUGGCAGACCCUGGCAGGCACACAUGAGGCAUUUGUUGCUCCGUGUGAUGGGAGCAACCUGCUUUCUUCAAAUGACCCUGACGUGCCUUGGGAAGGGGAUGAAGACACACUGCUCCUUUUGGGAAUCUCAGAGCCCUGCUGCCCGGGAGCGAGACCUUACUUUGCCCAGGGUGGGGAAGGAGUCUCCUGAGGGAGCAGGCGAGGGUUGGGAUGGGGCCAGGAGACUCUUCCUGCUUUCCAGGUUGGAUUUGUAACGCCCUCCUGAGAUGCAGGACAGGCACACCAUGCACCUUCAGAGCAGUGAAAUAUCUGUCCUGGAGCUGUGGCCACGUUUGAGGAAGACAACUCCAAGAGCCUGUUUCAGAAGCCCUGCAGGCAGAAAUGUUGCCUGGAGCUCCCCUGGGCCAGGGCCAGCAGUGAGGGCAGGAGACAGGGGACAGAGGAAAGAGGCAACUCUCUGGGGAGCAUGGAGGAAAUUUUGUUACAUUUAUUCAGCCUGUCAUGGGGAUGGAGUUGCCGGAGGUGUUUGGAGAAAGCCCCCCUGGAUCUGGAGCAUGGAGCAGCCCCUGGGGACAUCUCAUGGUCCAUUUGCUCCCUGAGACUGUUUGGGAAGCUGUUCUCCUUUGCUAAAGGUGUGGGUAUGAGUGGGUGCCCAUGCUUGCCCUGCAGUCCCCAAGAGGUGGAAAAAGUUUUGCCAUCAACACCCUGCGCUCUGUGGCGAUGUUGGAAGCACAUUUGGAGGGCCUGGCUGUCACUGAACCUGGUGGGGAUGGUGCAGCCCCUGGUGAGCGGCGCUGUCAGCGCUGGGAGGGAACCCUAGCCUUGAUUGGCACUGGGCUUUGGAGCUGCUGGAGCUGUGGGCACAGGGACACCAUUUCCAGUUCUGGUUAAAGAUACAAAGAGUGGCUUUUUCCCCCCCUGAGACCUUGUCUGAAGAAGCAGGGGCUGGGCUUCAGCUUCAUAUACCUCCAAGGGCUGCCACAGAAGCUGGGGGCUGCAUAUGUGUCUUGAUCAAGAGCUGCGCCCAGAAGGAACUGAGUAGCAGCUGGGCAUGGCAGCCACUGCUGGGCUGCUUUUCUUCCAGGAAAUAAAAACUGGAGCAAGCCACAACUGAGACAAGGCGGUACUUGAUUUAUUUACUGCAUUGUUUAUUUAACUGCUGCUAACAGCUCUGAGAAAGAGGCACCCCCUCCUUGGCUCUCCAAAUCUUUGUCUUUUCCUGCAGCAAGCUCUUGCUAGCUACCAGGCUGCCAAGUUAUCCAGCUUGUCACUCUGAUGGGUGACGGCAAGUCCCCCAGACACAUGUAGAUGAUGUAGUUGCUGCAGGAAAACCCUGUGAUGACCCACCAGGCCAGAGCAGUGGGGUCUCGGCUGCCAGGCACAGCUGGUGCCUCCUCCUCACAAUCUGGAUGGGUGCAAGUCUGUCUGGUUGUGGGGCAGGCUGUUGCUGUGGGACAAGGUGGUAGUGACUGGCAUCCCCCUGCCUGUUGCAGGAGCUGUCGUUGCAGGGAUGCUCCCCAGGAGCUGAUCUGGUGCUGCACAGGUCUGGGUAAAACACUGCUCUGGGGCCACCACCUGCAGACCCACAGGCAGAGCAGCCAUGAGUUUUGCAGCCAAAGCUCCCCCAGCUCGACCACCAUUGCAGCACAACUGUAGAAGGGAUGGGCCAAACCAAGCCUUGCACGGCGCGGCUGCCGGUGUGACUGUCCUCUGGGAUGCAGCUGGACCCGCUGGCGGCGGGGAGGACAGCUUCGCUCCAGCGCACCGCUGUGGGUCUGGGAAGACAAGCGCUUUCUGGCUCCCCUUGCCCGCUGCCACCUCCGCGGUGCUGCUGAGCGCCCCGGGCCGG